UACGAAGGGGGCUAGCGUUGCUCGGAAUCACUGGGCGUAAAGCGCACGUAGGCGGACUCUUAAGUCGGUGGUGAAAUCCUGGAGCUCAACUCCAGAACUGCCUUCGAUACUGGGAGUCUUGAGUCCGAGAGAGGUGAGUGGAACUGCGAGUGUAGAGGUGAAAUUCGUAGAUAUUCGCAAGAACACCAGUGGCGAAGGCGGACUCACUGGCUCAUAUCUGACGCUCAGGCGCGACAGCCGUGGGGAGUCAAACAGG
RNAcentral lists this ribosomal RNA (256 nucleotides) under uncultured bacterium. RNAcentral describes it as "partial 16S ribosomal RNA". It matches the Rfam family "Bacterial small subunit ribosomal RNA", at positions 524 to 776 of the family's 1533-position model. The record is from RNAcentral.